Molecule: long non-coding RNA, 391 nt
Filed under: Nicotiana benthamiana
Lineage: Eukaryota; Viridiplantae; Streptophyta; Magnoliopsida; Solanales; Solanaceae
Description: long non-coding RNA (NBEN_LNC002119)
Source: RNAcentral
AUGUUGAAUGCAGGCACAAUGAGCGUAGGUCACUCAAUCUUCAAACCUCCAGUGUUUGAUGGCAACAACUACGCAUAUUGGAAAGAGCGGAUGAGAGUUUUCAUCCAAGCAUACGACUUUCGUCUCUGGCAAAUCAUAAAGUUUGGUAAACUAAUGACUAAACAAGUCGGAAAAGCCAUGGUAAGAGAAUACAACACCAAGGCGAUAAAAAUGUUGUAUAGCUCUUUAAAUCAGGAUGAAUGUCGGAAAGUUUCACACUGCAAAUCUACCAAAGAAGUGUGAAACAAACUUGAGGAUAUUUAUGAACACACUCCUCAAGAAACGAGCUGUUCGUGUGAUGAACAAAAUACACGAUGCUUCAUGGCCGACAAAGAAGAAGAGGUAAGUACUU